AGAGUUUGAUCCUGGCACAGACUGAACGCUGGCGGCAUGCCUUACACAUGCAAGUCGAACGGCAGCACGGAGCUUGCUCUGGUGGCGAGUGGCGAGCGGGUGAGUAAUAUAUCGGAACGUACCCUAGAGUGGGGGAUAACGUAGCGAAAGUUACGCUAAUACCGCAUACGAUCUAAGGAUGAAAGUGGGGGAUCGCAAGACCUCAUGCUCGUGGAGCGGCCGAUAUCUGAUUAGCUAGUUGGUAGGGUAAAAGCCUACCAAGGCAUCGAUCAGUAGCUGGUCUGAGAGGACGACCAGCCACACUGGAACUGAGACACGGUCCAGACUCCUACGGGAGGCAGCAGUGGGGAAUUUUGGACAAUGGGCGAAAGCCUGAUCCAGCAAUGCCGCGUGAGUGAAGAAGGCCUUCGGGUUGUAAAGCUCUUUUGUCAGGGAAGAAACGGUGAGAGCUAAUAUCUCUUGCUAAUGACGGUACCUGAAGAAUAAGCACCGGCUAACUACGUGCCAGCAGCCGCGGUAAUACGUAGGGUGCAAGCGUUAAUCGGAAUUACUGGGCGUAAAGCGUGCGCAGGCGGUUUUGUAAGUCUGAUGUGAAAUCCCCGGGCUCAACCUGGGAAUUGCAUUGGAGACUGCAAGGCUAGAAUCUGGCAGAGGGGGGUAGAAUUCCACGUGUAGCAGUGAAAUGCGUAGAUAUGUGGA
RNAcentral lists this ribosomal RNA (699 nucleotides) under uncultured bacterium. RNAcentral's name for it is "bacterial SSU rRNA". It matches the Rfam family "Bacterial small subunit ribosomal RNA", at positions 8 to 702 of the family's 1533-position model. The record is from RNAcentral.